Molecule: ribosomal RNA, 819 nt
Filed under: Bacillus anthracis (anthrax bacterium)
Lineage: Bacteria; Bacillati; Bacillota; Bacilli; Caryophanales; Bacillaceae
Description: bacterial SSU rRNA
Rfam family: Bacterial small subunit ribosomal RNA
Source: RNAcentral
GGGGGUACGUUAUCGGAAUAUUGCGGCGUAAGCGCGCGCAGGCGGUUUGUUAAGUCUGAUGUGAAAUCCCACGGCUCAACCUGGGAGGGGCAUUGGAAACUGGGAGACUUGAGUGCUGAAGAGGAGAGUGGAAUUCCAUGUGUAGCGGUGAAAUGCGUAGAGAUCUGGAGGAACACCGGUGGCGAAGGCGACUCUCUGGUCUGUAACUGACGCUGAGGCGCGAAAGCGUGGGGAGCAAACAGGAUUAGAUACCCUGGUAGUCCACGCCGUAAACGAUGACUGCUUGGUGUUAGAGGGCUUCCGCCCUUUAUUGCUGAACUUAACGCUUUAAUCACUCCGCCGGGGGAGUACGGCCGCAGGGCUGAAACUCAAAGGAUUUGACGGGGGCCCGCCCAACCGGGGAACCUGGUGGUUUAAUUCAUACCACCGCGAAAAACCUUACCACGCCUUGACUUCCUCUGACUUCCCUGAAAUGCUUUGUUCUCCUUCGGGACUCUAGAGACAGGGGUGGCAUGCUUGUCGCCGCUUCGGGUCGUGAGAGGUGGGGUAAGUUCCCCCACGAAGCGCACCCCUUGAUUUUGUUGCCAUCAUUCGGUUGGGACUCUAAGGGGACUGCCGGUGAUAAACCGGAGGAAGGUGGGGAUGACGUCAAUCAUCAUGGCCCUUUGACCUGGGCUACCACGUGCUCAAUGGCGGUACAAGAGUGCGAACCGCGAGAGGAGCUGACUCAUAAACCGUUCUCAGUCGGAUUGGAGCUGCACUCGCCUCAUGAAGUGGAAUCGCUAGAAUCGGGAUCAGAUGCUCGGUGAAUACGUUCCG